AAUUAAAAAUGAUUAUUGAAGGUAAAUUAAAUUUUUUCAUUUUGUUUAAAUUUAUUUUGUUUCUUUUUCUUGUUCAUUUAUUUAUUU
This 87-nucleotide non-coding RNA is filed under the name Conticribra weissflogii. Lineage: Eukaryota; Bacillariophyta; Thalassiosirophyceae; Thalassiosirales; Thalassiosiraceae. The record is from RNAcentral.